UUGCAAUAUAAUGUUUGAUUUUGAAUUUCUUGCUUAAUGAACUAUUUCCCAGGUUGUAUUUUUUCUAUAUGGCUCUAGCUGACAUCACAUUAUGAGAGAUGAAAACAAAAACUAGCUUCUCAACUUUCGGAAAUGCAUGUAUCCGAAACCUAUAUAUUUAAACAAUUACAAUAUCAUAAGAACCUCCUAUAAAAUACUUGUAGAAGUGGAGCAUGUUCUGCUAGAAUUAGGUUUUGACCUAUGAAGAUGUUCACAUCUUCAAGAAGCUUGUAAUUCUUUCCUAUGGUAGAGUUCUAAUCGGCCCCUAACAUAUAUUAGAAUUUCACCCAAUAAAAAUAAAAUAAAAACAUUCCACGGAAAAUAUAAAUAGAUUUAUACUCAAUAGAACAACUUUCAACAACCAUACAUGUUCAAGUAUUUCCUUCGUCAUGCAGCAAAGCUCAAAUGAGAUUGUAUCAUAAAAAGUUAGGAUAAGCAGAAGUACCAUAACUCAAAAAUAAAAAAGAAGUAAAUAAGAACUUAAUUUGUAAGAAAUUUUAUUCCGCAACUUUAUCAAAUACUUAAUGUGCACCCAAUUAUUCAAGAAAACCAAGCAUGUUCGGAUUAACUUACAUGAAAUUUUGGAAAUCAAAUAACAAAAACGUUAUAAAAGAAAUCAUUCCAUACCUUUUAAUUAAUAUAUAUCUCUGUUGAACACCUCAACUUCAACGAUGAUGAGCAAACACUUGGAAGAAACCUAGGAUUUGCAGAGAAGGUGAAUUUUAGGAUAAUCAGAAGAGAUGAAGAGACCGUUUAAGAAGAUAAAAUCAUAUGCCAUUAUAUUUAAGAAGUAAUCACUAUUUCACAUUUCUUUCUCCAUCCAUUGUAGAUUACUCGGAAGAAGAGACCAGAGUCACUUGAGAUCACAUGCAUGUACGAUUCAAAUCGUUUCUUCAUUAGGCUUUGUAUUUUCUUCAUUGCUAGGGUUUUGCUCUAAAUAAGAACCAAAAAAAUCACAUUUGAUCAACAGGAAGAGGGAGAAAUGGAGACACAUUGUGACAUUGCUUAUAAUAUUAGUAUCAGCCGACUAUUUUUACGAGGCUGAAGCGGUUAGAGGGGUUUGUGUGUGCGUUAAUCUUACAUGAAGAACAGAGGUAGACAGAUCCACCUGAAACCCAACUAAUCUCAGAAGAAUGAAUCUAUAAAAUAGGAAAGAAAGGAAAAUUGAAGGAGACGGAGAAAGAAAGGAGCAUUCAAGAAGAGUAUGAGAGCUCGUGCCGAUUCAUGCAUCGUUUUCUGAAGAGGUGGUGGAGUUGGGUGUCACAGAGGGAAAGAAAGGCAUACAUCCGUGUUCUGAAAUUCAUGAAAACUACACAAAUUACAUGAUGGUAAAAUAAGACAGCUAAAGGCAGAACAUCUUUUAUCAAACAAGAAAGAGCACAUUUCAAAUACAAAAAUAUCUUAUAUACAUGAGAAUGCCACAGAUUCCAUCAAAAUUAGCGUGAAAACAUGAAUUUAACAAGAAAUCUGAUUGAUAUAAUAGAGAGAAAGAGAGAGAGAGAGAGAGAGGGAGAGGAGAUCUAUCCCGUGCUUUCCUGUUUCUGCACCUAUUUGUGUGUGUGUCGACCACAAUCCAAAUAAGUUUAUCUUACCAAAACUAUUAAAUCUAAUUAUGAAAAAAAAUAAAUUAAGAUUGAAAUGACUUGGAGAGUAUACCUAAUUUAGUUCACCAAUCAUGAGAGCGCUAGUCGAUGGUGAAGAACUGAAGAUGUAAUUACACAUACAUGUCUCGGAAAACUCAAACUAAGAUAAGGAUAACAGAGUUUUAGAAGUUUCAAGCCAAAUCAAGAAGAUCUGAAAGGCCACAGAAAGCUUGUAUGUCCUGGGAACCUUACGGUAUAGAAUCCGGUCAUGUAUGCUCAAAUACACAAUCUUAACCCUAUCGUUGCCGAUCAAUCUGGCUAAUGUUUCCCCAACUUCUCUUCAUGAAUCCUUUUCCUCACGAACUCCAAAAGCUCUAACACGUAUUCAUGAAGAUAUUUGAUUUCAAAUGGAAACGUCUGAGGAGAAGAAAGAGAGUAGCAACAAUCCCAAAGAAUCUAAACUAAAAUCAAAAGAUACCAUUACAUGAUGCAUAAAGAAAUGAAAUAUCAUCAUAAAAAUAGAGAAACUAACCAUACCUUUCUAAUCGGUGUGAUGUUUGAAUCCAAGAUUUGAAAUCCUAAAGAGUCUAUAAACUAACCCUAGAUGAACGCUCUUUGAGAGAGAGAGAGAGAGAGAGACGUGGUUAAAAAAAUGAGAAAGAAAAAUAAAAUAAAGUAGAGAUUGAUAAAUUAAGGAGAUCGGUGAUGGAAGACAACCAGACAUAAGCUAUUUAUGAGUGGUCGAGAGUUGCGGUGGUGUGCAGAAGAAUACACGUUGAUAGAAGCGGUGUAAGACAUGCACCAGUGCAUAACACGGAAC
This 2442-nucleotide long non-coding RNA is filed under the name Lactuca sativa (garden lettuce). RNAcentral's name for it is "long non-coding RNA (LSAT_LNC003533)". The record is from RNAcentral. Lineage: Eukaryota; Viridiplantae; Streptophyta; Magnoliopsida; Asterales; Asteraceae.